UCCCAGCAUCGGGAUUUCUGAUGAUCGGAACGUGAAUAUACAAUGCAGAUAUUAAGUCCUAUUAUCUUUGUAUUAGUAAGAGAAUUCACUUUCAGAGUCAGUAAGUUUUCUUCGCCCUUCAUGCUGAACCAACUUGGGAUCUCGCUUCCAGGAAAGUAAGUGCUGAAGAUGCCAAACUCAUAGAGUCCCUGCACUGAAUUUUUCUUUUUUGUGUUGGUAAGCCUAUUAAAUAGUUCCACUUCUGCGUUUUGUAUAUCAUCCAGGUUUAGAUGGUUCAGAGUGUUCACCAUUUCCUCUUCAAAAUUUCUUACUGGCUCCAGCUUGAACAAUCCAGGAAUCUCAGUUAGUUUCUCGCUGCCUCUAACAUCCAAGAAUAAUCUAUGAGUCUCCAAUAAGCUUGGCAUAGUUGUAACUCUUUCUAGUAAUGUGCAUUCUGUAGCCUUCAGCUUGAUGAGCGUUGAAGGAAGAUUGGGGAGUGAUUGGAGGUUUGGGCACGCGUCUAGCCAAAGGUCCUGAAGCAUACAUAGAUUUGUUAUACUCUGUGGUAGGUUAGAGAUCAG
RNAcentral lists this unclassified non-coding RNA (560 nucleotides) under Hevea brasiliensis (rubber tree). The record is from RNAcentral. Lineage: Eukaryota; Viridiplantae; Streptophyta; Magnoliopsida; Malpighiales; Euphorbiaceae.